Neopelma chrysocephalum (saffron-crested tyrant-manakin) is the source of this 393-nucleotide long non-coding RNA. RefSeq lists it as uncharacterized. The record is from RefSeq and is a predicted model, not a curated record. NCBI's taxonomy places the organism in Eukaryota, Metazoa, Chordata, Aves, Passeriformes, Pipridae. The transcript is spliced from 3 exons.
CCGCCGCCUCAGAGCGCUCCCUUUCCCCCUCCGUUCCCCCCGCUCCCCUUCCCCUCACGGGGAUGCGGCACAGAGCCCAUCGCGGCCCCGCUCCGCACCCCCUGACGGCCCUCACCGGGGCGGGGGGAAUGAACGGCGCCAGGGGAGCCUCAGCCUGCAGGAGCUCCGUGAGGAGCGAGGGGGCCGGAUGGCGAUGCCCUGGACGGAGUGUGACCUGCCCCGGGCAGCCACUGGUGCCCCAGAGCCAGGUUUCCUUUUUUAAAAAGAAUUAUUUUUCUUCAGUGGUUCGUGUUGAGCUCUUUCAAUGUUAAAGUUCAAGGCUGGUACAGAACAGAAGAAGAGAUUCGGAUAAGUUGCUCUCUUUAGAAUCACAUUAAGAGUUAAUGACUGAAA